Molecule: non-coding RNA, 505 nt
Organism: Pelobates cultripes (western spadefoot toad)
Lineage: Eukaryota; Metazoa; Chordata; Amphibia; Anura; Pelobatidae
Source: the annotation of a GenBank genome assembly
UAUAACUCCUCCUCUAACUGCUCCUAUACCCUCUCACUAUAACACCUCCUCUAACUGCUGCUAUACCCACUCCCUAUAACUCCUCCUCUAACUGCUCCUAUACCCACUCCCUAUAACUCCUCCUCUAACUGCUCCUAUACCCACUCCCUAUAACUCCUCCUCUCACUGCUCCUAUACCCACACCCUAUAACUCCUCCUCUAAAUGCUCCUAUACCCACUCCCUAUAACUCCUCCCCUAACUGCUCCUAUACCCACUCCCUAUAACUACUCCUCUAACUGCUCCUAUACCCACUCCCUAUAACUCCUCCUCUCACUGCUCCUAUACCCACUCCCUAUAACUCCCCCUCUAACUGCUCCUAUACCCACUCCCUAUAACUCCUCCUCUAACUGCUCCUAUACCCACUCCUUAUAACUCCUCCCCUAACUGCUCCUAUACCUACUCCUUAUAACUCCUCCUAUAACUGCUCCUACACCCACUCCCUAUAACUCCUCCUCUCACUGCUCC